RNAcentral lists this ribosomal RNA (439 nucleotides) under uncultured bacterium. RNAcentral's name for it is "partial 16S ribosomal RNA". It matches the Rfam family "Bacterial small subunit ribosomal RNA", at positions 338 to 795 of the family's 1533-position model. The record is from RNAcentral.
CCUACGGGAGGCAGCAGUGGGGAAUAUUGCACAAUGGGCGAAAGCCUGAUGCAGCAACGCCGCGUGAGCGAUGAAGGCCUUCGGGUCGUAAAGCUCUGUCCUCAAGGAAGAUAAUGACGGUACUUGAGGAGGAAGCCCCGGCAAACUACGUGCCAGCAGCCGGGGUAAUACGUCGGGGGCUAGCGUUAUCCGGAAUUACUGGGCGUAAGGGGUGCGUAGGUGGUUUCUUAAGUCAGAGGUGAAAGGCUACGGCUCAACCGUAGUAAGCCUUUGAAACUGGGGAACUUGAGUGCAGGAGAGGAGAGUGGAAUUCCUAGUGUAGCGGUGAAAUGCGUAGAUAUUAGGAGGAACACCAGUUGCGAAGGCGGCUCUCUGGACUGUAACUGACACUGAGGCACGAAAGCGUGGGGAGCAAACAGGAUUAGAUACCCGUGUAGUC